CACUUGGUCACUCGAAUUCGGUUCAUCACGUGCUCAAAGUAUUACCAUAAUAACUAAAAUCAUAUAUUUACAACGAAAGAUCUAAUUUAGAAUAAUAUACAAUGUUUUAUUAUAAAUAUUCCCCCAAGUCUCGCAACCUACAGUGCUUAAUAGAUUACAUAAUAAUAUCGAAUAAAGACUUAUUACAUAAUCCUACUUAAGCUUAAACAUAGUCCAAAAAUAGUCUUAAUGCAACAUAAUAAAUUUAAACAUAAAAGGGACAAGCUAGUCGGUAGCCUUGCCCUUGCCCUUGCCCUUGCCCUUGUCUUUCCCAGAUACACCUCCCUGUUCCGCCUUAACUGAGAGGUUUUAAAUAAGCAAGAAUGAGCACAAAUUGCCCAGCAAGUAAUAUACAACAAGGGUAAAGGGUUUUAUAACACAAGUUUGAAAUAUCGAAGUAUCCCUUCUAAGAUAGUUCAGGGUUUCAGAAUAACAUCAUGAAUAAUGAAUAUUAACAAUUCUUGGAAUAAGAACGAUAAUUCAAUAUAAAUCAACAGAUAUAUAUGAAUUCAAAGGCUAUCAAGGUAUUCGACUGGAUCACAAUUUAUACUGAGCAAUCACUAAGGACUAUUGAAUAUCUACUAGAAUUACCAAUAUUAAACUGAUAACCCAAAAGAAUCAAUUAUUAUAGAUGAUUAGUCUACAAUACUCUAAGUUAUGCAUAACACAACAGUAAUAAUCUACUCAUGUGUUGGGGUUUCCAACAACAUACACUCCCCUUACCAUAAGGGUUGUUCAACUCAGUUUUCAAGAUUUUCGCACCAAUCAAUUGGUUUGGACAGUUUUAUAAACAUGCUUAUAGUCUAGCCGAAUCAAAUAGCAUAGACACUUUCACAGUAUUCGAGAACAAUACUAAGUUCGACAUGAAUAAUAGUUUUCACAAUAGUUUUAGACAUACUAGCUCAAUGAAACGAAUAAAUAGGAUAACUUGCAUUCAAUGAGAUAAGCUUACGAUAUUCGUUGAAUAAAGUAACGCAAGAGUUAGAAUACUUGCACAAUGUAAAGUAAAGUUCGGGUACAUGCUCAAUAUAGAUUUGAGUAAGGUUAGAGAACUUGCUCAAUAAUAAUUGGAGUAAGUUGAGGGAACUUGCCUUACGCGUAGUUUAUCCACAUUAAGAAAUCAACACUUUUGAAUCCUAUUUAUAACGUAUUAUAUGUUCAAGAGGUUCAUUAGCUAACAUAGUCUUUAAUCCAGCUUGACGUGAUUCAAGUAUGCACAUAUGGUACAAAAAUCAGUUUAAACGUCAUCACAAGUUCAACUCACGUAUCUUUGUUUUGAUAUUUAUACAAACAUCCUUUUGGACUUAUCAUUCGAAAGUUAUGAAUAAUAUUUAUUUCUAUCACAUGGCAUGUUCCUUAUCACAUUACGUAGCAUGUUGAUCAUAUAUUACACGUUAAAGAAAUCAUACAGGCAUGCGUCAAACAUCAGUCCAAAAAUAGAACCCAUAUGUGACUGCUGCACGGCGCAGCUGGGCCAUGGCUAAGCCUAGGACCGGUGCAGUUGCGCCGUCCCCUGGCUAAGCCUAGACUCAACUGCUGUCUUAUGGCUUCCGUCCGGCUUGACCAAAACAAUCACACAUGUUAUAUUUGUUAUGUUAAAGGUCUUUUCAUGCUUCUUAAGUCAACCUAGGUUCCUUCUUUCAUAAAAUGAUUCUAAAUUGAUUAUUUCAAUAAUUUAAGGCCAUUCAAGGUCAUAAAACCAAAAAGUCUAUCAUGCUUGCUCUCUAAACAUACAAGGUAUUUAUAAAACCCAUAUUAGGCAUGUUUGUGAGUAUUCAUAACACAUAUGUGGAACUAACACUGAUUUAGUUAAAAACAUGCUUCGUUCAUGCUUUAUUUGAAAGGUAAUACACAAGCAUGGUAUAUAUACAUUUAUACUACAUGAGUGAGUCUAAGAGUAACAUCAAAUGCGAUCACAGAAGUCAGAUUCUAAUCCUUAAGGUAGUAUGUUCGAAAUUCGUAAUUUCAUUCAUAAAGCUUACUAAUUAGUUCCACAUGUCGAUGUUUGCUUACUAACCUCAUAAACACCAUCUAAAGGCUUAUUAAUGCAUUUCUAAGUCAUACUAACAUGCUUGCAAAGUCAGUAUAUAUACAUGGCAUACAUACACAAUAAGUUUGUUCCUAGGUCCCUAAAUUUAUGUUAAAUUCUACACUUUCGUUAAUCAUGCCAAUCUAGUCUAAACAUGCUCACAUUGGUUCAUAUAUCUAUAUAUACCCCUUACACAUGUUUGCAUGCUAGCAUAUGUCACAAUGAUUGACUAACGCUUGGCAUAUUUCAAAACAGAACUCAAAACAAAAUUCAGUGGGAGGCGCAGCUCAGUAUAAAUACGGCGCAGCUGCGCCGUGUCUAGUUCAAACCAGUAGCAGUUUGCUUCGGCAGAUUGCUAGCCCAACCACAAAAUUUACUCAUGAAAUCAUUCCUAAACACUCAUGUAUCAGUUUAAACAUGUUUGUAAGGUUAUAUAACAACUAUAUAAUCAAUACCCAACCUUAUUAACAUCCAAUUUCACAAAAUCAAGAAUUUGGAUUUCAAGAACUCAAACUCUAUUUUGUACAGAGAAUGAAAUGGAAGCAAGGAAAAGAACUUAUACCUCUACAAAUGUGAAUUAGCUUGCUCCUAAUGAACUCCCAAUGUCCUAGAAUACUUGAAUGCUCUCCAUCUCACACCUUGAUAAUUCUCAGCACUUGGAAAAAUGGAAAGAGAGCUCAUACUUAUAGGAAUUGUGACACCCCCAAAUCUGGGUACUUCAUUUCCACCGAAUUUGGUGCUCACUAUCAAAAUAAUUACAUCUAACUACCCAUAAUAAAGGAUAAAACAUUAAAUAAAUAACUUAAACAAUAAUCUCUCCCAUUAAAGGGUUACAUCAUAAUCUUAACAUAAAUCCCAGGUAAUAUACCUUAAAAUUAUUACAUCAGUUUGCAUAAUACAUUAUAAAAUAAAACAAGUCAUAAAACUUCAAGCAUUUAAAUAAACUUUAUCUAAUUCUCCAUCACUUAGACAUCUUGCCCUUUCCCUUGCUAGUAGAUGGAUCAUCACCUCUUUCAACUUUAGCUGCAUUAUUUAAUUGCAAGAGUGAGCAAACAAUUGCUCACUGACAUAAAGAUAGUAUAAUAACAACAUGAGAGUGAACAACGAAUACUGAAUAAUAAAGGACUUGUUCUACGAAUCAAAAUAGAAAAUAAGUUCGAACUUAAUUAUUUGAGGGUCUUAAGACCACGAACUAUGUCCACGGUAUUUAGGUGUUAUUACCUUAACCUUAACAGUCAUUAGACUGUACAGACUCUUCUUAACGUACUCAGGAGGAUCAGCCCUUUGUACCAUGUAUUGUGCACAAACAUCUAAACGUUACACGUACAAAAUCCCCUAUGUUAGAGUUGUUCGUCUCAGUUUGAAUUUAGAAUUUUCGCACUAAAGAAAGUUUAGUUUGAAACUAGCUUAUCAGUGUUUCUAGAAUUUUAGAACACUUAUUUAAUUUUCAUAAAUAAAGAUUUAAUACAAGAAUGUAUAACUGAACAAGGCUAUCAAAGUCAAAGAUCGGAUAUCAACCAUAUAUAACUGAAUAAGCUUGAUAUAUAUGCAAAGUAUUAUAUUCAAGAAAUUAAAACAAUCUCCUUUGAAUCAAUGUGUUAGAACAAUAUAUGUUUUGAAUAAUAAUAACAAGAAAUGAGAAUGUGAAACUUAUUCGAUGUAACGAAUUAGGUUACAUGAGCUUAUUCAAUCGUUCAUCAGAAUAGAAUCAAUAGUCUUGCUCAAUGACAAAUAUAAGAUUUAGAAACUUGCAAAAUUAUUAUAAGAGUAGGGUUAAAGAACUUGCCUUGUUUGUAAGUUACACAAAUGUAAAACAAUCUCCAAUUACCCUACAUUUAUCAUUGAAAUCGCAACAAUAAUUAGUUAUAUGAAUAUUAGCUUUCGGGUUUAAACCAUCAUUUAGGUCAUAACCUUAACUUAGCAUCUAACCAUAUAGGUUAACACACUUAACGAAUCUGAAAUCUCACUUCGAGCCAACAUAACUUAAUCAUUCACCUCUAACUUUGAAAACACCACAUUUGGUUUCAUUUUAUAACUUAUUUAACAAUUAUUUAAAAAUCUUUUACACUUUGUAUUACAAUGCAUGACAACCCGUUAUUGUAGUCUAUAUUAUGUCUCGACAUCAUUAACGUGCAUACUAGACUAACAUAAGUCCGAUACACAUAACCUGCAAUUAGGCAGAAGUCACUGCCUGGGCUCAGGGCACGGUGCAACUGCGCUGUCCCUUGCCUUGGCACCGGCGCAGCUGCGCUGGUGCUCGACUGCAGAAAACCCAAUGGCGCAGCUGCGCUUGGCACUGGGUUUUUUGCCUUGGCACCAGCGCAGCUGCGCUAGUGCACAGACAGACGCAGACUCGGCAUGAACAGUAGCCAUUUUUAGCCCAACUAACACGAAUUUCACCCACCAAACAGUGAAAUUAACAUCUAAAAUUGGUACAUACUAUUACAAACAUGAUUACUAACAUUUACAACCAAUUAACACAAUUUAUCAUCAACUAAAACUAGUUUAAUUUCUCAAAAAUUCCAUAUUUUCAUAUAAAACUCCAUUUUUGAACUUCUUCCACAAAAAUCGCCACUGACAUCUCAAAACUUGGCCAAAACACUUAAUUCAAAUUACGUUAUGAUCGUUUCUUAAUAAGCUAGCAUAAACAAGACUCAAUUUAUAAUUUAGCAUACAAAUUGGCCACUAAAAUUGGUACUAUUCACAAGCCAUAUGGAAAAAAUAUACAUUAUCAUACUUUUCUUCCUUUUUAAACUGUAAUUAGCAUACGAAUUCUUGCUUUUCAUACAAACUCAAACAUCAUAACUAUAUAUAAUCAUCAUACACAGGUUACAUAACAACAAUUUACAGAAACUAGAAUUCACAGAGUUUGAAAGCUUCACAAUUUUGCCGUAAAACCUAUAUAUAUAUAUAUAUAUAUAUAUAUAUAUAUAUAUAUAUAUAUAUACACACACACACACACACAAUAUCAAAUUAUAGAGAAUUACCUUCUUAUGCUUAGACAAUCCUUGCUAACCAACUGAAAUUGCUGUGAAUUUCUUAGGUUUCCUCUCAAUCUCCUCUCCUCUGUGUUUUCUGUAUUGUCUAGCCUUAGGAAAACAAAUAAGACGCGUAUGAAAAAUAUAAACUGACUCCCACUAACGUCAUGUACAAAACCAAUAGGUAGCGUCAGUUGAAAAAAUCAAAGGCCACAAGGCCAUGUUUGGCUAACCAUUUAUUUCCCAACCAAAUUAUUAUUAUAAUAUUAUAUUAUAUAGUUUCCACUUGUCAUACUUUAUUUAAAUAAUUUUAGUUUAACUAAUUUAAAUAACUAAUAAUAAUAAUAAAAACCUUAUUAUCGUUAUACUUAUAAUUAAUAAAUAAUUAUAUAUAUCUAAUUUAAUUAAUAAAUUAGAAACAUCACUUUAUUUAUUUUAUUUGUUUCCAUUAAAUUAAACAAUUCAUUUAAUUUAAUUAUUUUCUUAAAUAUUAAGCAAUUGAUUUAAUUUAAUUACUUCCUUAAAUUAAAUCCAUUAGAUAAAAUUAUCAUUAUUCAAAUUAAUACUAAUUAAUUUAGUUACCAAAUUAAUUCACCAUAAUUCAUCAAUUAUUUAUUUCCUUCCAUUAAUAAAUUAUUUAAAAUAUUUAUUUAAUUCAAUAAAUAUUUAAAUUAAAUUACAAAUUUCUCGAUCGUUACAGGAAUACUCAAUACUCAGACAAUGACAUUCUCCCCCAAAUCACUCAUGGAUGAAAGGAUUGCAUGAAGGAUAAGGGGGACUUGGUAAUUGGUUGGUGAUUGGCAUCAUUGUGCCCACUCCCUCCAUGAUCAUAGUCUAGCAAAGCUUGGAAGAAAAAUGAAGAACAUAGGCCUAAGCCUUUUGUUCAAACACGUGACUGAGAAUUUAGAAGCAAAUGGGACUCUCAAUUUGGGACAAUCUAAUAUAACUCAGCAUUCUUGUAUACUCUUACACACUCUCACUCUUAUGUUAUAUUUUAAUACACAUAUCAACCAUAUAUUAUAACCUAAUGUCACAAUAUGACUUAACAUUUCAAGGUAGUAGAUGUUAUGCAACAUACAUAUAAUUCAUGUACAUUCUAUUUUAAUGUCUACCCACAUGUAUAUGGCUACUUACACAUUUCAUGAUAUAUUUAUACUAUAUAGUUUCAAUAUGCAUAAUCAUAUUAAUUGCUUCAUUCAUAAAACUUAAUAUAUAGUUACGUAAUGUCACACUACACUAUAUAGUAUAGUUGUAUUAUUGCUCACAUACACAUAACUGUCAAUAUAAUAUUAUUAUAUUAAUAACUUACUUAUUUAUGUCAAGUAAAUAAAUGAUUCCCUUCCUUGAUUAAUUACCACCAAUAUUAAUUAAUCCAUUUAUUAUUGAUGAAAUUAUGGAUUUUCAUAACCAUUAACUAUCGAUGAAAUUCUUAUUAUAUUUAUAGAUAUAUUGCAAAUAAUAAUAAUCAUAUUAUAAAUUAAUUACCAAGUAAUCAAUAUUCUACCGCAAUUAAUUAAUAUUAAUUAAUGGUUUACCAAUUCCGUUGUCGGACACAACAUACUUUAUUUCAUUGAAAUACACUCCUAUCAUAUGGUUUUAUUUAUGUCACACAUAUAACAUUAAUGUCCCAAUACAGUGCUACAGUAGAAAGUAACCAACUCCAACUGACUACUGGCGCAGCUGCGCCAGUUUGUACUACUGGAACGGCGCAGCUGCGUCGUGCCCUGACAGUGCCAAGACUAGUUUAGCUUCAGCUCGUGUCAAUCUUCAUCGCCAAACUCGUUAUAUAUGACAUGAAUUGAUGUCCACAAAGUGUUACUAUAAGUUUACGAGCGUAUUUGAUUACUUAUAUGAUAUCACACGUUCAACGCGAUUAUACUUCCAAAUUCCCAUUUUAAUUUGCUUAAUGGAUUUCCUCGUUUCAUGAUAUGUCACACAAGGCAUUCCACAAUCCUCAUUAUCAAAUCACGCUUCUUAAUACGCAUUGACCUAGCACGAAUCAAUUGUAUUAACCAACUCAUAAAACAAUAACACUUAUAUUCACAUAAAUAGUAUUUCCAUUAAUAUAUUCAUUUUAUAAUACGUAGAAAUUCUCGGGUAUUACAUCCUCCCCCACCCCUUAUAAAAAUUUCGUCCCGGAAUUGCUACAAGGUUAUACAAAUAGAUGGGGAUAAUCCCUCAUCAUCCUAUCUUCUAACUCCCACAUAGCCUCCUCGACAUCGUGGUUAUGCCAAAGUACUUUUACAGAAGAAAUGACUUAAUUUCUCAAGUUUUGUUCUUUCCUAUCAAGAAUUUGGACAGAAAUUUCUUUGUACGCUAAAUUCUUCUCCACUUGAAUGGGUUCAUAAGAAAUCAUGUGCUUGUAGUCAGGCUUGUACAGACACAACACGGAUAUAUGAAACACGUUAUGGAUGUGCUCCAACUCAGAUGGUAGUGCAACUUUGUAUGCUACUUCGCCCACUCGCUUUAGUAUCUCGAACGGCCCUAUGAAUCUUGGACUCAGUUUCCCUUUCUUGCUGAAAUAGAUCCUUCCAUGGAGAUACCUUCAAGAAUACAAAACUGCCGAUUUCAAAAUCUCGGUCUUGCCGAUGCAAAGCUGCAUACUUCUUCUGACGAUCUUGAGCUGCCACUAGUCUAGCCCUUAUCACUGUCACCACAUCCGCGGUUUGUUGUACUAACUCUGGUCCGAGUAUUCGUCGUUCCCCGACUUCAUCCCAACAUAAUGGCGUUCUGCACUUCCUCCUGUAAAGAGCUUAGUACAGUGGCAUGACGAUACUCGUAUGGUAACUAUUAUUAUACGCAAAUUCAACUAAGGGUAGGUGGUCGUCCCAAUUCCCCUUGAAGUCCAUCACACAAGUUCUAAGCAUAUCCUCUAGCGUUCGUAUUGUUCGCUCACUUUGUCCGUCUGUCUGAGGAUGAUAAGCAGUACUUAACCUUAACUGUGUUCCCAUCCUCUCUUGCAAGCUUUUUUAGAAUUUUAACGUGAAACGCGGGUCUCGGUCAGAAACAAUCGAUACCAGCACUCCAUGUCGUGAAACAAUCUCCUUUACGUACAGACUCGCUAACUGAUUCAAACAGUAGCGGAUCUUGAUCGGUAGAAAAUGUGCUGUAACGCCCCCCAAAAUCGGGACUAUUUUCCUUCCCGAUCUUGUGCGUUAAUAUUAUCCUGUUCUAGCUUUAAAACAUUAUUUAAUGUUAAAAUAGUUAAAAAUGCGGAAUAAUUUUUUUUUCUUUCUUUCCAUUCAUUCAUUCCCUAAAUCGCAACCUUUACAAUUCUUCUUUAUACUAGAAUCAUAUUUAUUACAUGAUUUAUUUAACCUGAGUAGAUAUGGAUAUAUGUACAAUUCAUUAUUUCAAACAUAUUCCUAAUUCAGAACAAAUGAUCUUCAUCUAUUGAAUUAUUCAAAGAUUUACUUCUUUGUGGUUUACACAUGUAAAUACCAUCAAAUGAUUCAACACCAUCUCAAUUAAAUCACUAGUCUUCUUUUCAUGCGCUCCUAAUCACGAUCAUAGCUUUAACCUGCAAAUUAAGCAAGAUUGAGCACGGCGGCCCAGCAAGUCUAACAGUCUAUCAUGCAUCACAUAUCACAUAUGUUCACAUUCAGUUCAUGCAUUUAUAUUCUUGGGGUUCAAGCAUAUUACAAAUGCAUCAUCACAUUUAUAUCCUGCUGGUAGCAACAUAAAUAUCAUAGCAUACUACACAUGUCAUGUACAUGUCAUUCAUUGCACAUAUAUAUUGAGUUCCCCGACUCAAUUCAAUAAUUAGUCAUAAUUUGACAUUCAUCAUUCACAAAGCAAAUAAUGUAGUUCAUAGGUAUUACAUACUUAUAAACAUAAAUCAUACUAACAGUUAAUCAUAGCAAUUAUAAGUUCACAUAAAUAAACUGAGAAACUUGCCUUGUUCAAUGACUAUUGAUACAAACUUUAGUUUAACUUCACUUCACGAAUCCUACACAGUUAUGUUCACAUGUAUGCAUACAUUAGUCACACAUUCAUAUCCCAUAACCUGUAUAGCUAACAAACAUUCACAAAAACUAUAUCAAUAUCUGAUAUUCUUAUUUCUGAGAAACUUCCAUAUUCCUUUAAAAUAUUUUAGGUUUCGACUUAAUAUAGCCAUACAUUCUCAAAAAGUUCUAACACAACUUUUAAAAUGUCAAUUCAUUACAUUUACAAUUUAUAACCCUUUUUAAAAGUAUUUACAGACUUUACACGCAUUUAUAUGUAGACUUGUUGUCAUAUAGUGCAUCUGUGCCUUUACUAUGCGUAAUUAUGGCUUAUUUCCGCUUUUGUGAGUAAUUUAAAUGCUAUUCCAUACGAAUAUUAGUUUUCUAGGCUUAAUGCAUUCAUAAUACAUUACUUUUCCCCCUUUCAUGUACACAUGAGGUAUAUAUAUGCUUUUGCAUAUACGCCUCUCUUCUAAUGUCAAACCUUGCCUCAUUUGCUUGGCUUGUAGGGUAGACAUAUGCUAUGUGUAUGUCUUUUACCUACACAUAGCUUAUUUAUGUCAAAAGUUGAGUUUUCAACUCCGUUUGCAUAAUCAUCGCCUUGUAUUUUGAAAACCGUUUAGUUUCAAGUACAAUUUUAAAAUAACUUUGCACACUGUCCACGUAUUCCUGAUAUAUGGAUAUAUUAUCCAUAUAUAUGUAAACUCAUGUUUACAUAUCGUUUUUAUAGAUUUUGGAAUGCUCUGAAUGCAUAUACUUGUCAUAUGGUUGUUAGACUGUGUUUUAUAUCUGUCUUGGGGCAUCAGGACAUGCCUAACUUCUUUUUCCAACUUUUAAUAAUUAUAAUUACAUAUAAAAACAUAUUAGUUGUGCGUCCAUGUCAUAUAACCUGUAUAGUUAUAUAUAUUACAUUUCCAUAUUGGCCAUAUCAAUAGCUUUCAUUCUUGUUUUUGAAAAACUCUUAUAUUCUCUUCAAAAACUUUUAUUCUUUUACUUACGAUAGUCAUUUAUCGCUUAAUAGUCUUUGACAUGGCUUUUAAAUAUUCUAUGAUUUUGGUUUAUAAACCAUUUGUAAUUUAUUACAUAGUUAUCUCGCACUUUUAUACAUAUUCUAAGUAUAUAAAGUGAACUUGUAGUUUCCUUUAUACUUUGAGCAUAGAUAUAGUCUAUAUAGAUAAAUUAUAGCUUCCAUACUAUUUUAUAGACUCAUUUCCAUAAACUAUCGCAUUAAAAACCACCGCGUUUCAUUGGAACGCCGAAACAGCCCAUUGACCCAAUAAUGCCGACAACCAAGCCUUACUUGAUUGGGCAGCCCCAAGCUCACGACACCUACCUUUACUAAUUUUUUUAUCUUCUAAACUACCAACUCAAUUGUAUUGAAUUGUAAAUACUUUAUAACUCAUGUACUUGUUUCUUUAGGAAUUUAGAAACUAAAAUUGAUGGAUGAUUUAUCCACUUAAAUCGCAAAAGCCAAAAUAGCUCAUCAAAUAGCCACAACUGAUGUGUUACAGCUGACUGCUGCUGCCGUUGGGCAGCAGCUCCCUCCUUCUUGACUCUCGUUUCGCUAAUUUCUAUCCUCCGUUAAUGAUCCGUUUAUAUUGAAGUUUGGAUGUAAUAUAGGUGGUAUACCCACCUAUUUUAGAAAAAUACUGACUGUAUGAUUUGAGCAACUAAACAACGAAAGAACAAGCUAAAACAAUCCCAGCAAAUUGCAGCAGCACGGCGUAGCACCGUGCGCGCGCACCUGCACAUAGCUGCUGAUGGGCUGCCUUGCAGUCUUCAUGACUAACACAACCCCUUUGCGAUUUUAUUAUGUCCAGCUCGCACGUCGGAUAGCUACCAAAUUUUAAUAUGAUUUAGAUUCCAUAGAAGGCUAUUUUUAAAAAAUACGAGUCCCCCAUUUCAGACUCUUUAAGCUGCUCAAAACAGACUCCAAAACUGGCUUGACACACUAGUUUUUAAUUUUUUCCAGCUUUACCCUCUCUCGCUAAAAUAGUCAUAACUAAUUCGUUUUAAAACAUUUUUGAGUGAUUCUUGCGCCCACGCGAAGCUAACUUCCGGGGCUACGACUCUUAUUCAAUAAACUUUUCCAUGUUCUGCACCCAUAAUUCCAGAAAAUCCGCGCAAGGGACAGGUUCAAACCUGAUUUCUAAAUUUUGGACAGAUUCGACACACUCACUUUGGAAUGCCAUAACUCCCUCCUCCGAAGUCGGAAUUAUUCCGUUUCGGAGUCUAUGGAAAGCUUAUUCAACGUACUAUAAUACCCCAAAAGCCCAGAAUUUUCUGGAAACUCUAGCUAGCCCCGAAUUUGUCCUUAGGGUCAACAGUUCACAAUUUUUUUCGGUUUCUAACAUGUUUUACUAAAGCCUUUACUAUAAAUUCGUUUUAGUUCCUUUUUGAUUCAUUCCAAUUGGAUUAUUUCCAGAACUCGUAGGAGCACAACCCACCAUUAUAAAACUUAAAUUUUCAAUUCUAUACCCUCAUAAACUUUGGCUCAAGAACAGCCCCCUAAAACAGUUUUAACUAAUUUGUUUUACAUGUUUUACUAAGAAAUCCGUCAAGAUUUCGUUACAACGGAUUUUUCCCUCGUUCCAAUUGGGUUGUGUUCAUAACUCAUAAGAGUACCACACAUUAUCCCAGAACUUAAUUUUUCAGUUUCAGAGCGCAACACAAAUUGGUCCAAAAUAGUCCACUAGUUGUCCAAUUUAAGCUUAUUAGUCUCUAAGAGGCCUUAAAGCAAACACCAUAUGUGCAUCAGUUUUAGAAACAAGUUUCACACGUUUGUACAUGGUUUUACCCCAAAAAUUUCUUUCUUUAUAAUUCCUAAUGACCUGCAUAAAGUCCCUUAACCAACACAGCUCAACCAAAACCAACAUAACAGUUUUAUCAUCAUUCACAUAUGUAUUUACUAACUUCAUAUAAAUAUAGCAUGAACAUAUGGCUUACCUUGCUUACUUAAUGUUCAUGUUGAAAUUCUAGCUUUGAUGAUCAAUUAUAGAAAUCCUUUUAUUGCUAUGUGCUUCAGUUCUUCUUCAAGUCAGUACAACACUUCAAUUCCUUGCUAAUUUCGUUGGGUCUAGCCAAAAUUGAGAGAAAUUUGGUGAAGGUUUGAGAAUUGUGCAAACUUAAUAGUUAGAGAAAAAGAGAGAUGAACUGGAACGAAUUGAAGAGGGAAUGAGGACUGCAAAUAGUUUUUUUUGAGUGUUUAACUCUUUCUAACUUCCUUGCUCUCCUCUCUCUUUCUCCCAUUCACGACAACAAGAAGGGAGGAGAAAGAUAAAUAACGCCCAGCUUGGUCACCAAGCUUGCAA
This 12301-nucleotide long non-coding RNA is filed under the name Panax ginseng (ginseng). Its description in RNAcentral is "long non-coding RNA (PGIN_LNC013623)". Lineage: Eukaryota; Viridiplantae; Streptophyta; Magnoliopsida; Apiales; Araliaceae. The record is from RNAcentral.